Molecule: ribosomal RNA, 253 nt
Filed under: uncultured bacterium
Lineage: Bacteria
Description: partial 16S ribosomal RNA
Rfam family: Bacterial small subunit ribosomal RNA
Source: RNAcentral
UACGUAGGGGGCGAGCGUUGUCCGGAAUCAUUGGGCGUAAAGCGCGUGUAGGCGGCCCGGUAAGUCCGCUGUGAAAGUCCAGGGCUCAACCCUGGGAUGCCGGUGGAUACUGUCGGGCUCGAGUCCGGAAGAGGCGAGUGGAAUUCCUGGUGUAGCGGUGAAAUGCGUAGAUAUUGGGAGGAACACCAGUGGCGAAGGCGGCUCACUGGACCGGUUCUGACGCUGAGGCGCGAAAGCGUGGGGAGCAAACGGG